AACGAACGCUGGCGGCAUGCCUAGCACAUGCAAGUCGAACGAGACCUUCGGGUCUAGUGGUGCACGGGUGCGUAACGCGUGGGAACCUGCCCUUAGGUUCGGAAUAACUCCCCGAAAGGGGUGCUAAUACCGGAUAAUGUCUUCGGACCAAAGAUUUAUCGCCUUUGGAUGGGCCCGCGUUGGAUUAGCUAGUUGGUAGGGUAAAGGCCUACCAAGGCGACGAUCCAUAGCUGGUCUGAGAGGAUGAUCAGCCACACUGGGACUGAGACACGGCCCAGACUCCUACGGGAGGCAGCAGUGGGGAAUAUUGGACAAUGGGCGAAAGCCUGAUCCAGCAAUGCCGCGUGAGUGAUGAAGGUCUUAGGGUUGUAAAGCUCUUUUACCCGGGAUGAUAAUGACAGUACCGGGAGAAUAAGCUCCGGCUAACUCCGUG
RNAcentral lists this ribosomal RNA (433 nucleotides) under uncultured bacterium. Its description in RNAcentral is "partial 16S ribosomal RNA". It matches the Rfam family "Bacterial small subunit ribosomal RNA", at positions 29 to 507 of the family's 1533-position model. The record is from RNAcentral.